Oncorhynchus gorbuscha (pink salmon) is the source of this 943-nucleotide long non-coding RNA. RefSeq lists it as uncharacterized. The record is from RefSeq and is a predicted model, not a curated record. NCBI's taxonomy places the organism in Eukaryota, Metazoa, Chordata, Actinopteri, Salmoniformes, Salmonidae. The transcript is spliced from 3 exons.
UGGCGCACCUGGGGAUGAACAUACCUGAGAGGCGUUGACUUGAACUAGAGGAGGAUACUCCACCACCAGUCGACCCAGCGAGCCAGCACACCAGCCCAUUCAACAACCUGCUUAGAUGGGAGCCCCAACCACCGAGAGUUCCAAGGUUGCCAUGGUUAUUUCUCUGCUGACUGGGCGGUCGUCGGAAUGGGCCACGGCCAUCUGGGAGAGGAGGAGCUGGAUUCGUAUGAGGGGUUCAUGGCUCUGUUCAGAGGUAUCUUCGAUCAUCCACCGGAGGGCAGAGAGGGGUGAGCGCCUACUCCGACUACAGCAGGAGGACCAGACUACAGCUGAGUACGCGGUCACCUUUUGGACAGUUGCAGCAUUAAGUGGAUGGAAUGAGCCGGCGCUUCAUGCGAUAUUCACAAGAGGACUGCGUGAGGAGGUCCAGACGGAACUGGCCUGUCGAGAGGACAACCUCUCCUUGGACGCUCAGACUGUCAUGGUUCCACCUGUCACCAGAGGGUAACAGAGACCGUCCUAGAGACAUUAAUGACACUCAGCUGUGUCCUAUUACUCAUUAUGAUGUCCAUGUUAAAAGAGUUCAUCUGAUGCUACGUGAGAUCAGGUACCACUGUUCCUCUACGACCCGCGCCUACCCAGAGAGACAUGCAGCCUGUCGCCGCUACCCAGCUAUUCUCCUCUGCUGCUAAGAAGCGGGCUCUUUUGUAAUUAUCAGAAGGACUUUUUGUUUCAUUUGUCGCCCUCUCUGCGGGUUGUCUAUUUUGCCAUUAUCUACAUCUGAAGAGGAUCUAUGUCUUCCCUGUGUUUACAUUAAAGGACUCUGUUUUCGAAUACCGCUUUUGGGUCCUCACUCAAGUGCAUAACAGGCCUGGGUUACCCCUGUGGGAUUCUGUGUUUUGACAUGCAAAACUGAAUGUUUUUGUUGAAAACGCUUUAUCUG